CAAAUUCCUUUUUCGGUUAAAGAUCUCGUCGAGAACGGGUGUGCGCGCAAACGAAUCUUUUGUAAGAAGUGCCAUCAUAGGAAAAUUCCAUUGUGAAACAACUCGACACGGUACGGAAAAGACAUACCUUUCGGUUGAUCGCGAUAUUUUGGCUCACGCACCCGCUGAUUCCCUUGCUCGUACAAGUGGAGUGACGGGGCACGGGAGUGUCGCGACAGAUCCCGCUCGGAGGAAAGACGCCACAGCUUCAAAGACCGGACGGUCUUUCGCUUAUUGCGUGGGGCAGCGACCCACGCUAUUUAAACGCACCCCAUCGUCCAGUCGCCGGCUAAGUAAGCCGCAGAGCGCAGUCAGCCGGGGGCUGGAAUAAGCAAACGCCUUCCCGCUUGGGACCCUUCGCCUGCGAGGAGCACCCUAGACAGGGUUAAACAGCAGCGCGCGCCAAGGCGCGUGAAGAAGAAGCAGGAGCAAAUCAGGGAUGCUGCAGUGCUAAAGCCACCUGCGGCCUUCGUUUUCUCGGUUGCCCGAGCGCAGACCAUGCUGCAGCGAUGAAGCCAACUGCGGCCAUCGUCUUCCUGGUUGCCCAAUCGUCGGCCAAACAGAGGCAGAAUUCUCCGCCUUCGGCUGUCCUCUUCGCCCCGACUCUGUCCAGGAUUCCUCUUCCAGCAGCUUCAGGGAGCACAGUUCACCAAAUCAUAGGGUUCAGCGGAUGCUAGUCUCGUCUAUUACCAUCCUAAUGUUUAAAGUAUAAAAAUCUCACAAAAUUUGUAUAUUCAUGAAGAAUAAUUAUCAGCUAACCUCAUUAACGUUCAAGUUCCCCCUGGGAGUUCGGGAAAUGUGUUCAGAAUUUGCAGUUAUAAGUAUUGUUAAGACAUCGCUAGUUUAAUUCAUUUUCGUUACACAUUCGUUAAACUCAUAUCAGCUUAAGCAAUCUUUAUAAAUAUUCACAAGCUAUUGUUGUCAGUUAAGUUCGGAUUGAAUUGUCAGGGAGAAAAUUCCCCCAAAAGUUCUGUGGCUCCACAUACAAGGAGUAGGUCGAAGUUGGGAAUUCUGAGUUGUAGCAAGAGAUAGAGUCUUCGUACUGUAAACCACCUUUCCGAAUUAACGCUUGUUUUCAGCCUACGCCGGAAGAUCGAUCUUUCGUCGUUGGAAAUUGAACAGUGAGUGAGUAAGCAUACCUUCCAAAAGUUGAAAUGUACGUAGUUUUGAAAACCAACUGAUCCUUGCCCAACCUCGCGAAUUUGAAACCUCUGACCCCUGCCUAUUGAGGCUUUGCCUUGAGCGAUCUGAUCGUUGGCUAAUUAGAGAUGCCAUCUGCAUCCAGUCAUCGACUGAACUCCGCAUAGGAGAUCACGUUUUGUCAGCCAGACCGCCUCUUUGAUUUUCGACUCAUUCCGAAGUUAAAAGAUUUAAUGAUUUUUCCACAUUUUUGCGAAAAGCGAAAGUAACGAACUUAAAGUAUUCAAUGAUUUUCCCAUGUUAUGCGAAAAGCGAAAUUUAUGAAUUUAAUUAGAAUUUAACUCGAAUUACAGUCUUAUUAUAUAUAUACUCAUUACAUUAUCAAAUAUCCUUAUAUACCCAACCAUUACGAAUCACCUAUUUUUAGUAGUUAUUAAGAUCAUUUACUAUGUUGCCAUAUCGGAUUUAAUUUUUGUUUUAAGGAAAUAAUGUUGAAGUUUAGAUAAAAGAACAAAAUGGACUCAAUGCUA
This is a long non-coding RNA of Drosophila miranda, 1709 nucleotides long. RefSeq lists it as uncharacterized. Lineage: Eukaryota; Metazoa; Arthropoda; Insecta; Diptera; Drosophilidae. The record is from RefSeq and is a predicted model, not a curated record. The transcript has 2 exons.